Molecule: ribosomal RNA, 253 nt
Filed under: uncultured bacterium
Lineage: Bacteria
Description: partial 16S ribosomal RNA
Rfam family: Bacterial small subunit ribosomal RNA
Source: RNAcentral
UACAGAGGUCUCAAGCGUUGUUCGGAUCCAUUGGGCGUAAAGGGUGCGUAGGCGGCGCGGUAAGUCGGGUGUGAAAUCUUGGAGCUUAACUCCGAAACUGCAUUCGAUACUGCCGUGCUUGAGGACUGGAGAGGAGACUGGAAUUUACGGUGUAGCGGUGAAAUGCGUAGAUAUCGUAAGGAAGACCAGUGGCGAAGGCGGGUCUCUGGACAGUUCCUGACGCUGAGGCACGAAGGCCAGGGGAGCAAACGGG